Nemania sp. NC0429 is the source of this 109-nucleotide non-coding RNA. Lineage: Eukaryota; Fungi; Ascomycota; Sordariomycetes; Xylariales; Xylariaceae. The record is from the annotation of a GenBank genome assembly.
UCCGAAUUGGUGUAGUGGCUAACAUUUGACGCUCUCAGUAAAUCGCAAACAUCUGUCUGUGAUCCUGCAAAGUACCGUCAAGCCCGGGGUUCGAUUCCCCGAUUCGGAG